Solea senegalensis (Senegalese sole) is the source of this 776-nucleotide long non-coding RNA. RefSeq lists it as uncharacterized. The transcript is spliced from 3 exons. Lineage: Eukaryota; Metazoa; Chordata; Actinopteri; Pleuronectiformes; Soleidae. The record is from RefSeq and is a predicted model, not a curated record.
UGAGCCAGAGCUUCAGCAGCUGAGAUGCGGCUGCUGGGAUUGAACGUCAAACAUUUCUGCAGGAUGAAGCGUUUCUAAUAUACUGAUUCUCUGACUUUUGCCAAAACUUAAUCAUUUCAUAGUCCACAAUACUACAAUGGUGUGGAACAAAAAAAAAAGCAUGGCAACAUUUCAAAUCUGCUCACAGCCAGCAGGUCGUUCUCCUCUGGGCCCACGAUGUGCAGCGGCAUGUUGCGGGAAACCUUUGGUCCCCAGCUGAAUGAGUAUGAGAACGGGCUGUCGGUCGGCCAGUCCUCCUCACCAGGAAAACCAAUAAACCUGGGGGAAAGAUGAUUUAACCAACAAAGACCAGGACCAGGACAAAAGCUACUCUGACAUUAUCCAUUUAUUUAAUAACAAAUAAAAGGUGAAAACAAAUGUCUCGCAGCAGAUGGACACCCUUUAACUGCAUUACAGAUCCAUAGUUGCUGAAUAAUUUGAAAUGAACAAAGGCUAAAGCACUCAUAUUCAUGGCUGAAUUUAAAAGAAUAGUUUGGGUUCUUUUUUUUCAGCAUCUUAUAUGUGCAUACCUCUCAUUGAAAACACGGUUGUCAUAGUAACACCAGAUAAAACAGAUUUAACCCACUCAACAAAAGGCUGUCCUAGGAAAAAUCAAUGCCAGCUUUAAGUUUUUAUCUAUCUUAAAAUUAUAUUCAUUGCUUAAUCAGACCAAAGUCCAUGGAGAAAAUCGGCUUGCAGGGAAAUGGGAGUUGCUGGUUUGUGCCACUCAGUGAAUU